Molecule: ribosomal RNA, 494 nt
Filed under: uncultured bacterium
Lineage: Bacteria
Description: partial 16S ribosomal RNA
Rfam family: Bacterial small subunit ribosomal RNA
Source: RNAcentral
GACGAACGCUGGCGGCGCGCUUAACACAUGCAAGUCGAACGGAAAGGCCUGCUUUCCCUUGUGGAUUGCGGGUACUCGAGUGGCGAACGGGUGAGUAACACGUGAGUGAUCUGCCCCCAACUUGGGUAUAAGCCUGGGAAACUGGGUCUAAUUCCCGAUAGGACUGCAGGGUGGUGCCUGUGGUGGAAAACGAUUUUCUAGUGGUUGGGGAUGAGCUCGCGGCCUAUCAGCUUGUUGGUGGGGUAAUGGCCUACCAAGGCGGCGACGGGUAGCCGGCCUGAGAGGGUGGACGGCCACAUUGGGACUGAGAUACGGCCCAGACUCCUACGGGAGGCAGCAGUGGGGAAUAUUGCACAAUGGGCGGAAGCCUGAUGCAGCGACGCCGCGUGGGGGAUGACGGCCUUCGGGUUGUAAACUCCUUUCGACCGCGAGGAAGCCACCUGGUUGGAAGGGUGGUGACGGUAGUGGUAGAAGAGGCACCGGCUAACUACGUG